Molecule: long non-coding RNA, 1657 nt
Filed under: Papio anubis (olive baboon)
Lineage: Eukaryota; Metazoa; Chordata; Mammalia; Primates; Cercopithecidae
Description: lncRNA (ENSPANG00000043946.1)
Source: RNAcentral
AUCGAAACUGCCAAAUUAAGACAAAGAGCUAGGAAGCACACAGGGAGCAAGUCAAGAGUUUUUAUCAGACAAACAACAAUUUUUUAUACUUAAAAAAAUUCACUUAUUUGUUUCUUUUGGUAACCAAAUAAACCCAAAGACUUGAGUGGGACAAAUAUUAUUAUCACCCCUACCCCCUUUUAGAUUUUGAAGCAAAAUGUCAGAAAAGGUAAGUAAUUUUCCCACAUUGAUAAUGUCAGUAGAGAGGUAAACCUCACCCCGGACACUCUGAUGCAGACACACCUCAUGCCUUUCCCAUAAGUCAUCUCUAAGCACGAGAAACACAAAAAGAACUAAAGGGAGGGAAGGAUGUAGCUUUAUUUGCUGCUUAAAACAAUGAACAAUAGAAACAAGUUAAGAAUAACCUGCAAUUAAUGACAAUGCUUGUGGUUCUGACGUAAGGGAAGAUCUUUGCAGCUUUCUGGAAAUGGUAAAAAAUGUGCUCAGUUUCAGGGAUGUACUACCAUUUCUACUGCCAAGAGACUAAAAUGUAAUAAUGCAUGGAAUAUUAAAUUAGAGACAUUUUCUUAACCUGAUGAAUGAGCCUUAGUUUCUUUGGGACCAGAACAUUGUCGUAGAUACAUAAGAAGCCCAACAGUAAACAGGAAAAUCAAAACAGACAAAGAAGGAAUCACAAUCAGUGGCAAAAAUCCUCUUUUCUUUGCAGAUGCUGGGCCACUGUCAACACUACCCCCAUAGCCUCUGUGCAGGCAGUGGGGAGGGGACCACCCAUAGCCACAGUGGCAGUGAUGUUGGUUAUUGCAGAUCCCCUUCAUAUUGCAGGUCUCAGGAAGGCAGACGUGUGACAAGACAGACAGACUGACACACUUCUUGUGGAUGCAGAUCUUUCCUGGGCCACACACAGUACCAUCUUUCACGUCACCAAUGUCAGAUUGGCUAUGUGGAUGCUGGAAGAUGGGGAAAACUUGUUUCAGUCUGAACAUUAUCCUUGCCAUCAACUUGCCUAAAGAGGUUGGAUUCAUCUGGGCGGUUUUCAUUGCUGCAAGUUAGGUACCUUAUUCCACGAGGUGUAAGUAGCGUGGAAGAGAAAAGCAAAGUUCAUAGACAAAACUUCCAAGAACAAAGGUCUCUGAAUUGGGAUGAAAAUCUAACUGUCGGAUUUGCUCUCGGUAUUUCUCUUGAUAUGUUUUCUACUUAUUAUGGAGUGACAGUUGUUGUGGAUGGGAGGAUUGAAAAUGGGAAGAACUAACCAAAGAUAUAAUGUUGUGGAAAGGACUGAUAAACUACACAAACCCGUGUCAUAUUAUUCUUUUCUUGGAGCUUAGUGUGAGAGCAGGCAAUAACAGGAGAAUAACUUCAAAAAUAUCUGUAAGCCAGAUUCAUUGUCUUCAUUCCUAGGACUUACAGAGACCAAAGCUCCUGAAGUACCAUCAUUCUACCAGGGAUACUGUGAGGUGGUCCCACUCUAAAUCUAUGUCCUCUAACAUCAGUGGACUGUCCAGUGAGCCAACAGCCCACUUAUUCAUGUGUGAUAAACUCUUCCUUUCCCCACAGCUAUUUCAAAUUCAUCAAGACCCCUCUCUACCCAUCUUCCCUCUUAUUCCAAUGCCCUAAUGCACUGUUUUCCUAUCUGUCUGUCACUAGUAUCUGUCCCAUU